AUGAACGCUGGCGGCAGGCCUAACACAUGCAAGUCGAACGAGGCAGCAAUGCCUAGUGGCGGACGGGUGAGUAACGCGUGGGAACAUACCCUUUGGUACGGAAUAGCCUCGGGAAACUGAGAGUAAUACCGUAUGUGCCCUUCGGGGGAAAGAUUUAUCGCCAAAGGAUUGGCCCGCGUUGGAUUAGGUAGUUGGUGGGGUAAUGGCCUACCAAGCCGACGAUCCAUAGCUGGUUUGAGAGGAUGAUCAGCCACACUGGGACUGAGACACGGCCCAGACUCCUACGGGAGGCAGCAGUGGGGAAUCUUAGACAAUGGGGGAAACCCUGAUCUAGCCAUGCCGCGUGAUCGAUGAAGGCCUUAGGGUUGUAAAGAUCUUUCAGAUGGGAAGAUAAUGACGGUACCAUCAGAAGAAGCCCCGGCUAACUCCGU
RNAcentral lists this ribosomal RNA (431 nucleotides) under uncultured bacterium. RNAcentral describes it as "bacterial SSU rRNA". It matches the Rfam family "Bacterial small subunit ribosomal RNA", at positions 29 to 506 of the family's 1533-position model. The record is from RNAcentral.